This is a non-coding RNA of Callithrix jacchus (white-tufted-ear marmoset), 1294 nucleotides long. The record is from RefSeq and is a predicted model, not a curated record. NCBI's taxonomy places the organism in Eukaryota, Metazoa, Chordata, Mammalia, Primates, Cebidae.
CGCAUCACUCCACUUUGGCUCGUAAUUUCAACCUCUCCUAAAAUAGCAAAGGCGCAAAUUGGAGCUUUUCCCUCUCUCUUUGCCAAUUUCCAUUCUCCAGCGGAAGCGGGGGCAUUUUCUGAAAAGGAGUUUCACUCUUGUUGCCCAGGCUGGAGUACAAUGGCGCCAUCUUAGCUCACUGCAACCUCUGCCUUCUGCGUUCAAGCGAUUCUCUUGCCUCAGCCUCCCGAUGGUUACAGCCUUCAGCCAUGAUUGUAAGAUUCCUGAGUCUUCAUCAGAAGCAGAGCAGACGUCCAGCGCCAUGAUUCCGAUACAGCCUGCAGAACUAACUUUCUUCAGUUUGUCUCUCCUGGAAGGAUGAGCACCUCCACACUCAAGGUUUGACUAUAUUGAAACUACGUCAUUGAUCAUCAAAUCACAAGAAACAAGGAGUUUUAGUCUUCACUAGAAGCGCACCUAUGUGACCUUGAGCAAGUGUAUUCAGCCUUUCUUGGUCUCCCUUUCCCCAUCUGUAAAAUGAAUGUGUGGUUUGGUGAUGGCUGGUCUGUGGAUCCAUUGCAUCAGAAUCACCUGGAAAGCUACUGCAAAUGCUAAUUUGCAGGUCCUAGCCCAAUCAUGAAUAUCUUUGCACUUGGGCCAGGGGAUCUGUAGUUUCGUACACACACACACACACACACACACACACACACACACACACAGAGAGAGACACUCUCAGGUGAUUUGGAUGCACAGCAGGGUUUGGGACACAUUGGAUUAAACAAUCUGCCUGCUUGCCUGAGUUCAGAGGCAAAAAAAAAAAAAUGGCCCUUGGAUGUAUCCUUUAAUAGGAGGCCAAGAAACGGGAUCAGCCUCCUUGAGGAAGCAGGUUUGGUGCUUCAGGGAGCUACCAAGACUAUCUUCUUAAGAAGCAAUCACCACUUCCCAGGCUUCUCUUGCAUUCCACCUGGGAAUUCCGUGUAUAAUGCAUAUGUAGCCUACAAAGUCAAAGAACUGACUUUCUGCGCCUUUUAUUUAAAUUGGUUUCAUGGAAAGUGGCUAAAUAGGAGAACUGAGAUAAAUGAAAGUUUUACAAAGAUAUUGGAAUUUAACUAAAUAACAACUUAUCUUCGUUAUAUUUGAAGUUUCUGCACUGAUUACUUUUCAUUCCCUUCUCGGGAGUACAGAAUAAAAAGGAAAUGAUUUCACAUGAUACAAUAUGUUAAUCCACUCAUUUUAUCUGCACUCUGCCUUUUAAGAAACCCUCUUAACUGUAUUCCGAGGGGCAAUAAAUAACAAGGAAAUAUUGGCAAGUUGA